Molecule: long non-coding RNA, 504 nt
Organism: Hemicordylus capensis (graceful crag lizard)
Lineage: Eukaryota; Metazoa; Chordata; Lepidosauria; Squamata; Cordylidae
Exons: 3
Source: RefSeq, a predicted model, not a curated record
CUCGCCCUCUCUCUUUGGGUGGGCGCGGGAAAGACACUGCCCUGUAAUGCGCAGGCCCUGGCACGGAAGCAGCGACGACGCUGUCUGCCUCCAGGAGCUUCUUUGUUUGGAUAAAUUAUGGCCUUGAGAACCAAGAAGGGAAUUAGCAGCAGACAGUUGAAUUUAAAACAAAAUUGCUGCAAAGCAUACAGAAAGCUGUGAAUAUGUAAGUUUCAUGCAAAGUGUAAAACCAAUGCUGCAGUGGAGAAAGAAGCUAUACAAUGGUUGCUCCAAAAGCCACUGAGGAAGAUCAGGAGGAUUGAAACACAUUUGGCUGGCAUAAACUACUUUGAUUGCAUACUCUUCAGAAGAAUUCCAACAAUAAGAGCACAGACUUUUGGCAAGCUCCAAUAUGCACAAUUGCAGUGCACUUGUUUACUUACAUGUUGUAGGAAUGGCAGUAUAAUUAUUUUAUGGAAUUUUAUUUGAUUAGUGUUUGUAUCAUUGUGAUUUCACACAUUUGCA